RNAcentral lists this ribosomal RNA (253 nucleotides) under uncultured bacterium. Its description in RNAcentral is "partial 16S ribosomal RNA". It matches the Rfam family "Bacterial small subunit ribosomal RNA", at positions 524 to 776 of the family's 1533-position model. The record is from RNAcentral.
UACGAAGGGAGCUAGCGUUGUUCGGAAUCACUGGGCGUAAAGCGCACGUAGGCGGAUGUGUCAGUCAGGGGUGAAAUCCCGGAGCUCAACUUCGGAACUGCCCUUGAUACAGCACGUCUUGAGUCCGGAAGAGGUGGGUGGAAUUCCUAGUGUAGAGGUGAAAUUCGUAGAUAUUCGGAGGAACACCAGUGGCGAAGGCGGCUCACUGGCUCGAUACUGACGCUGAGGUGCGAAAGCGUGGGGAGCAAACAGG